RNAcentral lists this ribosomal RNA (440 nucleotides) under uncultured bacterium. RNAcentral's name for it is "partial 16S ribosomal RNA". It matches the Rfam family "Bacterial small subunit ribosomal RNA", at positions 338 to 795 of the family's 1533-position model. The record is from RNAcentral.
CCUACGGGAGGCAGCAGUAGGGAAUAUUGCUCAAUGGGCGAAAGCCUGAAGCAGCAACGCCGCGUGAGGGAUGAAGGUCUUCGGAUUGUAAAACCCUUUUUUUAGAGAAGAAAAUGACGGUAUGUAACGAAUAAGCACCGGUUAAUUCCGUGCCAGCAGCCGCGGUAUCACGGCGGGCGCACGCGUUACUCGGAAUUAAUGGGCGUAAAGCGCGCGUAGGUGGGUUAGCAAGUUCGAUGUGAAAUCCUAGGGCUUAACCAUAGAACUGCAUUUGAAACUGUUAGUCUUGAGUUGGGGAGAGGUAGGUGGAAUUCGUGGUGUAGAGGUGAAAUGCGUAGAGAUCACGAAGAACACUCAUUGCGAAGGCGACCUGCUGGAGCAUAACUGACGCUGAUGCGCGAAAGCGUGGGGAUCAAACAGGAUUAGAUACCCGAGUAGUC